CUGCUUUUAGGAUUUCUAUAGACUCCAUUAGGAAUGCCUGCAAUUGCAUGGCUAAAGGCAUGCAAUUGCAGGCAUUAUCUUUGCAUUGCUCCAGUUUAUUUGGAUGUCCUUAGUGUAAGCUUCUAUUGCAAAAGCUGUGGUGAGGUUUCCUGCAGCUGUGUCUUCCUUGUGUUGUUCUACUCUUUGUUGCAAUGUCCUUGUAGCCACCCUAUGUACAUUGUGUUCUGCUGGGAUCUACUACUUUAGCAAAAAACAGAAAUAUUCAAAAUUCCAGCCAAUCACUCCUUUUUUCUUUCUCAUUUCUGAGUCUGUUAAAUAUUGUUGGUGUUCUGUAGUAAGUUGGC
This 344-nucleotide long non-coding RNA is filed under the name Androctonus crassicauda. The record is from RNAcentral. Lineage: Eukaryota; Metazoa; Arthropoda; Arachnida; Scorpiones; Buthidae.